This 240-nucleotide unclassified non-coding RNA is filed under the name soil metagenome. RNAcentral's name for it is "partial contains 5.8S ribosomal RNA, internal transcribed spacer 2, and large subunit ribosomal RNA". The record is from RNAcentral.
AAGACUAUAGACCUGCGGAGUACCUGCGGAAGGAUCAUUAUUGAAUUAUGUUUCUAAAUGGGUUGUAGCUGGCUCGUCAGAGCAUGUGUACGCCUGUUUGGACUUCAUUUUCAUCCACCUGUGCACCUAUUGUAGUCUUUGGUUGGGUAUCAAGGAAGUGGUCAGCCUAUCAGCACUUGCUGGAUGUGAGGACUUGCAGUGUGAAAGCUUUGCUGUCCUUUACUUGAUCAUGGAGUUGUU